GGUGGCUCAGUGGUAGAGUGCUUGCCUAGCAUGCAUGAGGCCCUGGGUUCGAUUCCUCAGUACCA
Dipodomys ordii (Ord's kangaroo rat) is the source of this 65-nucleotide non-coding RNA. The record is from Rfam. Lineage: Eukaryota; Metazoa; Chordata; Mammalia; Rodentia; Heteromyidae.